RNAcentral lists this ribosomal RNA (504 nucleotides) under uncultured bacterium. RNAcentral describes it as "bacterial SSU rRNA". It matches the Rfam family "Bacterial small subunit ribosomal RNA", at positions 28 to 518 of the family's 1533-position model. The record is from RNAcentral.
GAUGAACGCUAGCUACAGGCUUAACACAUGCAAGUCGAGGGGAAACGAUAGAGAAAGCUUGCUUUUUCUAGGCGUCGACCGGCGCACGGGUGAGUAACGCGUAUCCAACCUGCCCACCACUUGGGGAUAACCUUGCGAAAGUAAGACUAAUACCCAAUGACGUCUCUAGAAGACAUCUGAAAGAGAUUAAAGAUUUAUCGGUGAUGGAUGGGGAUGCGUCUGAUUAGCUUGUUGGCGGGGUAACGGCCCACCAAGGCGACGAUCAGUAGGGGUUCUGAGAGGAAGGUCCCCCACAUUGGAACUGAGACACGGUCCAAAACUCCUACGGGAGGCAGCAGUGAGGAAUAUUGGUCAAUGGACGANAGUCUGAACCAGCCAAGUAGCGUGCAGGAUGACGGCCCUAUGGGUUGUAAACUGCUUUUAUAAGGGAAUAAAGUGAGUCUCGUGAGACUUUUUGCAUGUACCUUAUGAAUAAGGACCGGCUAAUUCCGUGCCAGCAGCCGA